Molecule: long non-coding RNA, 170 nt
Organism: Sarcophilus harrisii (Tasmanian devil)
Lineage: Eukaryota; Metazoa; Chordata; Mammalia; Dasyuromorphia; Dasyuridae
Exons: 2
Source: RefSeq, a predicted model, not a curated record
CGCCAGCCAGGCGGACAGUCCUAGGGCUAGGAGAAGGCGAGAGGAUUGCGGAGCCCGGGAGACACGACCAGCGUCUAGGCGGCCACUCGCUGAAGCGGUGGAUUCCGGGAAUUAUAUUGUAUUCACAUCACUGUUCCGACCGAUAGAAAAAAAAGAGAGAAAGACCGACA